CCGGAGCUAACGCGUUAAGUCGACCGCCUGGGGAGUACGGCCGCAAGGUUAAAACUCAAAUGAAUUGACGGGGGCCCGCACAAGCGGUGGAGCAUGUGGUUUAAUUCGAUGCAACGCGAAGAACCUUACCUGGUCUUGACAUCCACGGAAGUUUUCAGAGAUGAGAAUGUGCCUUCGGGAACCGUGAGACAGGUGCUGCAUGGCUGUCGUCAGCUCGUGUUGUGAAAUGUUGGGUUAAGUCCCGCAACGAGCGCAACCCUUAUCCUUUGUUGCCAGCGGUCCGGCCGGGAACUCAAAGGAGACUGCCAGUGAUAAACUGGAGGAAGGUGGGGAUGACGUCAAGUCAUCAUGGCCCUUACGACCAGGGCUACACACGUGCUACAAUGGCGCAUACAAAGAGAAGCGACCUCGCGAGAGCAAGCGGACCUCAUAAAGUGCGUCGUAGUCCGGAUUGGAGUCUGCAACUCGACUCCAUGAAGUCGGAAUCGCUAGUAAUCGUGGAUCAGAAUGCCACGGUGAAUACGUUCCCGGGCCUUGUACACACCGCCCGUCACACCAUGGGAGUGGGUUGCAAAAGAAGUAGGUAGCUUAACCUUCGGGAGGGCGCUUACCACUUUGUGAUUCAUGACUGGGGUGAAGUCGUAACAAGGUAACCGUAGGGGAACCUGCGGUUGGAUCAC
Molecule: ribosomal RNA, 680 nt
Filed under: Escherichia coli
Lineage: Bacteria; Pseudomonadati; Pseudomonadota; Gammaproteobacteria; Enterobacterales; Enterobacteriaceae
Also listed under: 1 other name
Description: bacterial SSU rRNA
Rfam family: Bacterial small subunit ribosomal RNA
Source: RNAcentral